CCAUUGUUUGCAGGACUGUUUCAGUUGGUUCCCAAAUCUAUUUCAAUGAAAGCAAUUUGAUACGCACGCUGCAAGUUGCAUGGCACCCUUACAGUGAUACACAUUUAGGAAUCCUUUCUUCUGACUCUGUUUUCAGACUUUUUGAUUUGUCUUCAGAUCUCCUGCGACCAGAGCAGGAGUAUUAUCUACAGCCAGUCGAACCAGGUAGAUCUAGACAUGCUGCAUCAAUCUGUCCAGUAGAUUUUUCUUUUGGAGGAGACCACUUGUGGGACAGGUUUAGUGUUUUUACUUUAUUCAGUGACGGUUCAGUUUAUAUCCUUUGCCCAAUUGUUCCAUUUGGAAGUGUCCACAAAUGGGAGUCAGUAUUGGAGAUAUAUAGAGAUGCCCACACAUUUGGCCUGAAAUCUGUAAAUCAGACAGCUGUUAGUAACUCUAAUCUAGCAAUCUCGUGGUUGGAAGCAACAUUUCCUGAGUUAGAUAAUGGGGCCAUGGAAGAGGAAAAUCUUUUGGCAUUAAAAGCUCGACCCUAUGUUUUAUUUGAUGCAUCACUUUGUUUACAGGGCCCUUUACAGAGAGUACAUGGUGGGGCCUUGGAUGUACGGGGUGUAGAAUGUGAAGGUCGUGCAGUCAGUUUUCUCUAUAAUGUCAUCAGCAAAGAUUCAAUUUUGGUGAUCGCAUGGAGUGGGGGGCAAUUG
RNAcentral lists this unclassified non-coding RNA (695 nucleotides) under Hevea brasiliensis (rubber tree). The record is from RNAcentral. Lineage: Eukaryota; Viridiplantae; Streptophyta; Magnoliopsida; Malpighiales; Euphorbiaceae.